UUGUACACGUGGUAGAGGAGCUUUCUGUACAGGUUGAAGUCAUACCGUAAGGAGUGGUGGACAGUACAGAAGUGAGAAUGCUGGCAUAAGUAGCGAAAAACAAGUGAGAAUCUUGUUGACCGAAUAUCUAAGGUUUCCUGGGGAAGGCUCGUCCUCCCAGGGUUAGUCGGGACCUAAGCCGAGGCCGAAAGGCGUAGGUGAUGGACAACUGGUUGAUAUUCCAGUACCACCAUAAUGCGUUUGACAAAUGGGAUGACGCAGGAGGAUAGGAUGUGCGCACUAUUGGAUGUGCGUCUAAGCACUUAGGGUGUUAAGUAGGCAAAUCCGCUUAACAUUAAGCCUGAGGUGUGAUGGGGAGCCUAUUUUGGCGAAGUAUCUGAUUACACGCUGCCAAGAAAAGUCUCUAUGGAGCAAAAUGGUGCCCGUACCGCAAACCGACACAGGUAGAUGAGGAGAGAAUCCUAAGGUCGUCGGAAGAAUUAUUGCUAAGGAACUCGGCAAAUUGACCCCGUAACUUAGGGAGAAGGGGUGCCUACGAGAGUAGGCCGCAGUGAAUAGGCUCAAGCAACUGUUUAUCAAAAACACAGGUCUCUGCUAAAGCGUAAGCUGAUGUAUAGGGGCUGACGCCUGCCCGGUGCUGGAAGGUUAAGGGGAAUAGUUAGCGCAAGCGAAGCUAUGAACUUAAGCCCCAGUAAACGGCG
Molecule: ribosomal RNA, 701 nt
Filed under: Clostridium botulinum D/C
Lineage: Bacteria; Bacillati; Bacillota; Clostridia; Eubacteriales; Clostridiaceae
Description: partial 23S ribosomal RNA
Rfam family: Bacterial large subunit ribosomal RNA
Source: RNAcentral